UGGGAAUCUGAAUUCGGUCGUGUCUACUUUGAGCUUGUAGAAAUGAGCACAAGGAAUAAUCCCAUGUUAUGGAGUAACUUUUGAUGUUCCCCGUAAUUAAAAUAGUUCUGCAUUACAUUCAGGCAAAAACUAUGCUUUGGCAGUGUGGUGAAACAUUAGAGAAUUCUCCUCAAAUUAGUUACAGAAAUUGAAUGACAGGACAAAUUAGGAAGAGGCAGAAGGGGGUGAAAUAUUUUAUUUUAAAAAUACUUCAUAAAGACAAACAUGCAGUAAAUUAGCAAAUGUGCCUUCUCGGUUAUUCAUGGAAACAUGUUUGGAAAAAAACCAUGGGCUUUGUUUGUUUAUUAUUUGGCAGAAUUUUCCAGUGUUUUGUCAGCUUCCCACAGGCUGCUGUGCAUGGAGCUCCUUGGGAGGAUCACCAGAAGGCUUUGAGGAAGCCUUCAGAAAUGGUGGACCAGACAUGGAGGGGAAACCUUCAGCAAAUCUUUCCACCCCAAAGGCAUCAUUUCAAAGAGUCUCAUGUUUGGAGGGAGAAAAUUACAGAGAUCCAUGCAUCUACCUGCAUACUGUCCUGGAUACUUCAAAAGCUGCAGUUAAAAGUAGAAGCCAAACUUCCUCUGCAUUUACAGCAGGUGGUAUUAAUUUAUGUCACUUAGAUUAAUAGCAGUUGUUGUUUAACAAUAGCUGUUGAUAAACUAGCAUUGGUUUAACAAUAUGCAAAAAACUGCAUCUAAACGUGGCGGGGGGGAAGCAGGGAAAGCAGCCAAGUACUCCACCCAGAUAUAGAUUUGUGUGUGUGUAUAUCUGUGUGUGUAUAUAUAUAUAUAUAUGUAUAUAUAUAUAUAUAUAUUCCUCUGUCCACGCACAGAAAUGUUAACUUCAGUAUGUUUACUGGAGUGGUAAAAAGCAGCCACUUGCAAAUUCACUGAGACAAGGAACACCAGAUUGGAUCUGUAGGUUUUUUUUUUUUUAAUGUUGCUUCCAACCACAAUGUAAGUGUUAGAAAGGAGGGGGAAGCUUUUCUUUUUUGGAAAUAUAUUGGGUUUUAUUGCAAUAAAUGCUUCUGGCUCAAAGACAUCCUUAGUUAAGCCUGGUAAUCUGUGAGUGGAAGGGCAUGUGCUGGCAGAAAGGAGCAGAGCUGUGAAAAGGAUCUGUCCUUAGGACCUGUCUAUCUUUUUGUUCAUAAUAAAAGCAAGGGAAAAAAAAGAAGCGGUGUUAUCAGUACACUUCUGCAAGUGAAUUAGCUAGCACAGAUUUGAUAAAGCUUAUAAACCCUCUAGAGCAAUCGUGACAGUUUGCUGGCUUGGGCUUUGUCUGCUGCCAGUUACUCCUUGCUAGUGGCACUCUUUAUUUAUGCUUCAGUACCACGUUAUCCUCUGGGCUUCAAACAGAAGGGACCUGUCUGUAAGUGUUUUGGUUGUGGUGUUAAAAAAUAAGAGUGCAGCAAAACACAUGCAACAGUGCCCAAGCUCCCUUUCAGCCAGUUUCCCUUCUCGUGGUGCGGCUUCCCCGUGACUGCUCCGUGCACACAGCGAGGCUGAGGUGGUGUGUGUCUGCCUUCCACUAGAGAGUGUCACAGAGUUAUUUCAAUGAAUGAGAAAAGCCAAAUGGUGCAUUAUCUGCUUUGUUGUAGGUAAAAUGCAAAAGUGGUGUGACCUCAGGAACAGGAGAUAGCUGUGCCUGCCUAUAUGUUUUCCAUUUUCUAACCAGUUCUGUUUAUUCUUCAAUCUGCAGCUGAAAAUGCACACAGUUCAGGAGGGGGCCACAUUUCCAUGCACACCAGGGCUUUUUUCUGUCCAUUUGAACACAUGUACACAUUAAUGUUAUUGUAAAUAUACCAUCUGACACUUUUUUUUUCCUCUCCUGUAUCCUCAAAUUAAAUUUGUACUUCAAAAUGGUAGCAUAAUUCUGGGGUUCAUUAUCACAUGCAUAUUGCUAGUACAAGGCAUUGGCAAGCAGAGUUUAGAUUUUGGAUCAGUCUAUGCAAAAUUCUACACAUGGGAAUCUUGGGAAAAAGUUGCAGUCCAUUAGCAAAUUCUCAUAUCUGGACUGAAGAUGUAAAUGCACAAGUAGAGAAAUUGAAAAAUGGUGUUAAGUAGUCAGAAAGUCUCCAAAGGGAGAUCUGGACAAGAAGCUACAGUAAUAGCAGUAGAUGGCUGUCAUUAUUAAAAGAAAAACUCAAAAGUAAGGACAAUAGUAACACUCCAAAUGCAUAAAGUAAUUUCUUCAGUCUCUGAAAUUUCCCAUGGAAAUGCAAACACAGAAAGUAUUGUUUUUUCAGGUGAGUCAUAUCACUAAAUAACACCUAUUUUUUUUUUCUAAAUGAAGGAUUAUCCAUAAAGAUACUUCAUUUAAAAUAAUAAAUUAAAAAUUUGAAUACGGUGCUGACCACUGCAGUGCUUAAAGUGGGGUUUAACCAUCAAGGUCAGUUUAGGUGAACUUUCCUGUCCCAGCAAAGGAAUUCCAGCAAACUCUGCAAUUUAUUUGUUUCUGAUAUAGAGGGCUGAUCUCUCAUCUCUUCCAGGUCUGUGGUGCAUGGUUAACACCUGUGUUUGAUGUCGUUUUCCUUCUGCUUUAGUGAAUGAGAUGCCUCAGGUGAUGCCAAGUGGGACUGUCCUUUGAUGCCAUCCUGUCCCCACCUCUAGGGGGGACACCUCAGCAGGCACACCUUUAUUCCCAGAUGAAUUCCAGCUUAUAGGAAGAAUUUUAAAAGCUCUGGAGAAGUCAAAGACAGAAGAAGCAGGGCCAGUGAGGCUCAAAGCUUCCCUUCCUUACCCUAGAGGGGUGAAUUGGACCCAAGCACCCCUCACUGAUACUGGUGGGGCAUCAGAAAAGGGUCUCAAAGACCUGAGAGCAGAGCAAUUAAAAGGGAUUUCUCUUGAAAGUAAGACAAAGCAAGGAGUACAAGUGUGAGCAAUUAUGUCAGGUCUUACUACAGUGAGGUGAGCAGCAGGCCAGGCUUGUAAUGUCAGUGAGAAACUUGAAGGUCCUGAGGGUUAAAGAUCUUGAGAUCUAUCUUGGUAAGGAAUGUACUCAAAUGUGACAGUCUCGGUCUGGUCUUAAAAACUUCCAGUUUGGUUUAGCUAUUUACAUACCUCUGCAUUUGUCUCACCUCUAUUUCCAUCCUUACCUAAAGGAAAGGUGAAAUACAAGCAAUGUAAUAAAAUCUAUUUGAUUUUGCUAAAAUGACCUUGAGCUGCUACUGCACUGGAAACUUGAGUGUGUAAAAUUGAUUUGGGGGAGUCAUGUGUUGAAGCAAAAGAGGGAUUUUCCCAUCAUUGCCUGAUGUUCCUUGCUAAAUGAAGGGAAAUGCCCAGCUGUGGAUAACUAAAACAACUCCUGAAAGAAUCUACUUGCCCCCAACAAGCAAGUUUUAAGUACAGAGAGGUGGAUAAUAGUAAAUAGCAAAAAGAAUCCCCGUGUUGCUGACCUGAGCAGACAUUGCUUUUCCAGUGGCAGCAGGAGAUGCAGCUCCUCAGUCCAACAUUUGUUGCUCAAGCCAUCCCACCUUCUAGGGUCCCUACUAGUGAAGAUAAAGAGAAUUGCCAAUGUAUAUUUUUUUUCUAAAAAGAAAUAGAGAAAGUCUAUGGGUGAGCUUUGAAAAGAAAAUAUUGAUGAAAUUUUUUUAUUCUGUUUUCUAGAACACAUUGAGGCAUCAGCACAGCCACAGUUACAGGAGGAGGGAGAAGGUUUCUGUGGCUCAGCAGGAAGGUACUCAAAUGGAUAAUACCUUUGUCUUUUGUGAAGACGAAUAUGAAAAAAUUGCGCUGAAAGGGCAGAACUACAGCAGCAGCAAGAUUUGGGGGAUAUCAGACUGUGACAAACCCCAUCCGCUGUGUCCUCCAGCAUCCGCAAAGCAACUUGGGAGCACUUUGUUCAUCUGCCACUUUUUUAUUGCUCUAGAGUCCCUUUCUUGCCUCCCAGGUGACCUGUGGGAAACCCCAACAAUGUGAUCCCCAUGUGUGCUCCAGUGCAAAGGGGAAGGGCGAAUCCUGGAGUGCACUGGUUUGCAGCUUGUUUUUGCUGCAGGAUGAACGAGCCUCUCACCUUCCUCUGUUAGCGAGUCGCUGCUCUUAUUCAGAGUUCCAGGACAUCACCAAGCAUGUUUGUGUCUUGGAGUGACACUUGUAACUCUGUGGUUGUCCUUAUUUCUCUUCAAAUAGAUCAAAAGCCUGACAGGAAGAGCACAAAGAGAAGCACGAGAGUUGCAGAAGCUACUUUUGCAAGCCCAGAUGUGAAAGUGUGGUGAAUAAUUUCUUCUGCUAACUUCUGUUUUUCUAGUAGUAAGUUCUUAAUGGCCUUACAAGGUUUUAAGUUGGUCAACCUUACCUCAUUAUCAUCUAGCUAUUAUUGUAAUGAAAAGUUUAUAAAUAUAUGUGUGUUAAAGUGUGUGGUAUAUAAGAUGUAAGAAACAUGCAAAAGGAAUCAAUAAUUGUGUGUUUUAUAAUUUAAGAGAAAAUAAUAUCCUCUCAGAUGACUGUGGCUACAAGAAAUGAAGGUCAGCUGUACUCGUGAUCAUUUUUUUCUGCAGCUGCUGUUGCAGGUUUCAAUACCUUUAGCUCCUUCUGAUUAAAGGCAUUUUAUCAUGGUGUAUUUCUAUUAUUUUUUUUGUUACCAAUGAGAGCUUUUUGAUAGAAUCCCUAAAAGAGGACCUGUAUUUGUAGGGAGUCUGAACACAUGGGAUUUGAAUCCUAGUUAACAGUGAAUUCUCUAUUGCAGGAAGUAAAAGCUUAUGAAUAUUUUCCUUGGCUCUGAAAGUGGGAGCUGACACUAGUUUGUAUUGGAGAAUUUUAACUAAUGAUUAUGACGAUACUUAUCUGCUAAUUUGUUUCUCCAUGUCUGGAAUCAGUAUGCUAAAUAUGUAUGAAAUUUUCGGAGCUCAUGCUAAAAUUUCAACUAGCCAAAUACUUAUCUGCAUUUCACUAUUAUUGAAAUAAUGAUAGUAAUAAUAGUAAACACAGUAACUCUUUAUGAGUUCAUUCAACUAAAGUAGGAGAUCAUGGCAUAAGCUGAAAAUAUCUUCAUUAUUUUGAUAAAUCUAGAGUAUUGUCAUUUAACACCAAAGGCUUGUUAGAAAAAAGCCUAUGUGAGUUUUUUUAAUGCCAUGCUUUUGUAUAGGUAGCUACAUAUUUCAAAACUAAGAAGUGCUGAUUGCCACAGACACUCCUAACAUACAGAUAUGUGUAAUCUACAACAGUAUCCACAACAGGACUUGAGCUAAUUCAUUUAUCUCACUUAAUAAAUCUGUGCAACCUCUCAUGCUAGGUUUGAUGCCAAAGUUCUUGGGUGAUGCUGAAGAAUUUUCCCAGUUGUACAACAAGCAUAAGAAAGCUUUCAAAUUGAGGGAGAAAAUGACAAACAGGAAAUUCAUAUUACAGGCUUGAUUGCUGAAUUUUUUAAAAUGUAAAUUAUUAUGAGUUGGGAUACUGUUAGUUACAAAUAAACUUAGUUUGCAUCAGUUAGUUAUCAACAGUCACUGUCAAUCAUUUUUGUAUUUCCUGUUCAUAUGCUUGAAUCUGUUAAUGUUUUAAGUUGUAUGUGUUUUGUGUCUAUUUAGUGUUGGAAUUAUGUUAAGCAAUAUGGUUGCCUCUUUAACAAAUGUGAUCAUUGUUUUUAUAAAUACAAGUAAAACAGGAUAUUUUUUAAUCAGUGAACUUAUUUCUGUUGGACAUUGAAGAACAAACCUCAGAAUACUCUCUCAGUGCACUGAGAGAAGCUCAGGUUAAAGGAUGGCUCUUAUGGAAUGAGAAGAGGCUGCAGCAUCAUUCAAACGUUUCUUGUGCUGCUGAGCUCCUGCCUGGGAUCUCCAGUCAGUGCAGUCUCGAAGGACAUCCCUGAAGAUCCAACUGCUGUAGCUCUGUGACUGUUUUCUGUUCUAUUUCUACAAAGAUUCAUGUCUGCUGUCCAUCCUGGUAGUCUCUGGUGCAGACUGGCCUCUCUCCAUACUGCCAGACUGCUGCUGAGCCCCUUGGCACAGGUCAGAAUGAAAACCAUAAUUUUUAUUUCUCAGAGAAGAACCAUCACCAAACAUAAAUGCACAUAUUAUUCUUACUGGAGAGCUGAUGCUUCUGUUACUUGACUGCUGCAGCACCUGAACCUUACACUUACAAAGUUAUAACAUUCCUGAUAUCAAAAUUGGCUUAAUGGGAUAAGGACUCAAAUCAUAAAAAGAGGAAAAAGUUAUUAUCUUUCUUUUUUUAGGCCCUUGCAACACAUUCAUCAUCCUUUUCAUGCAGUACACUAUUCUUCAAAUCACAAGCAGUUUUUAAAACCAAGGUUGAAGUUAAUUUUAUCAGCCAUGUGUCUUAGAAAGAGUACCCUCCCUGUUUGGACAUUAUUUCCCUGUGUGAAGCUGCGAGUGAGUUUACAGGCUUAGCAAGGCCGUAAGUGAUUUGCUUUGUACAGCUAUUUGGUAUUGCCCCCCACACCAAUAAUCCUUUAGUAUAAUAAAAUACAUGUCUCUCCUUCUUUACUAGAAGUUAUAGAGAAGUCUUCUGAUCAUCCAGCUAUGAAAAGCACCAUGACUGGUUCUGCCCAGAAGCUGCAUGAAUACAUGUGGAGCAGAAAAGUUGCUCUUUAUAGCCAGCUGUAAAAUUCUUUCAAGCUCUGUUAAUGUUCAAGCCUGAGAAGGCUUUUCUCACCAAGAUAUAGCAUAGCUUCAGCAUACCAGCCUUCAGCAGUGUGUAUGAGUCAAGAUUUCACUCCAAGCCUACACUUUACUGGUGAAACUCAAAGUCAGCCAGCCCAUUUCAAGAAGAAAAAAUGUCAUUUGGUUCCAGUAAGCAUCCACAGAACACACUCCAGAUUUGACAAACGUUGUAAUUAGUUGCUUUUGUGUGUUUAGUACACAGGGCAAAUGCUGUAAAAUGUUUUUCACAUGAUGCAACAUUGCCAGCAGAUAAUCACUGGAGCAGUAAACCAAAAGAAUUUGUGUAUAUCCUACAAGCUGCAGGAGGAUAAGAAAAUGUAAACAAAAACCAAGAGCUGAAUUUUUCAGAUGAUACCAUUCCUUUUCUUUUGUUAAACUGAUUUGUUUUUAAAUGCUACUUUUUGUCAGUUUCUCUAGAAAUUGAUUAGAAAACCCCAAACCAAUGUUGUGAAAAUGCUUUUGUUUCUGUCCCAGUUUUGACUGUGUGAAUCCUUUUAGAACAUUUUCAGUUUAAUUAUGCAGCACUAAAAAUUGCAAUUAAACUGAAUUUGCAAUUGAAACUGCUCAUUUUAGUUAACUGUCAAAUUUACUAUGGCGUUGUGAAAUAGGGGCCUUUAUUAUUAUGAGGUGUUUUGAAAAAAAUUACUUUUUAAACAGGAGAAAAAUGUCAUACCCCUCAGUGCUAUCCCCAUAAGCCAAGAAUUUAAAGAGAUACCUGCCUAGUGAAAUGGUAACUCUCUAAGCACAAUGGAGUUUCUUCCAGGUGAUGUUUUAAAAUAUUGGUAAACUGCACGUAUGGAUGGUAUUGAGUAAAGUCUUCUUUUUGUGUAUUUAAUAUCUUUUGUGAAAUGUGUUUUUCAAAGGUGGGUGGAAGGCUAAAGUUGCUUUAAAGUAGUCUAGUGGUAAUCUUCUUGUCUUAGGGAUAUCUGACAUGUCCUGUUUUGCAGGAUGCUAUGAUGCAAUUUGAUGGAUAUUGUGUAUUAUAUGAGACUGUACGAAUCUUAAUAUCUCUGUUCCUCUGUUUUAGCAUGUGAUGUACAGCUCUGUGUACAUAGAGCAGCGCAGACGAGUGUCUGAGACUACCCUUUUUCUCUAAGCCCUAGGCAUUUUUAUCACUGUGCCAAUAAAAGGAAGGGGAUUUAUGGGGUACUGCUUUUUAAUUCAUUCAAUUCUCUGUUCAUUGUGAGGUUAAUGUUGUUGAUCUAUUUUUCUCUUGAAACAAAUAAAAACAAUAUGUGCUGACACUGACUUUGACUUUUGACAUGGGAGAUAGAGGUCAACAUUUAAUUCUAUAUUUAUAGACUACAUGAACAAUAUUAUCUGUAUUAAAAACUGUUCACUCAGUCCUUGUCAUUUUACAACUUAGUUCUGUAGCUUAUAUCACACUGAACGUUUUCUCCAACUCUGAUCAAGGUGCCAUCAUUCACAGCACUUCACUUAAGGGGUUGUCAGCCUUUCCAUUAAAAUCGCCUUUUUUCAGGGGUUCAUAAUAUGACUAGCUAAAAGAAUUACACCAAGACUGACCUGGGGCUUUUUUUUUUUAAGCAAAAUAUCCAUAAAAACAUACCCCAGCCCCAGAACCUAAAACCCAACAAAGAACUCAAAUGAAGAGAGGAGUUGACUUGUAUGACACACAUUCAAUGGCCAUUUUUAUUUAAGAAAAUUAUGUGAUUUAUCAAGCAGGUAUAAUACUGCUUAAAUAUUUAACCAUUUCUUUAUACCUGAAGUAUUCUUGGCUGUGUAUAAGAGGUGCUUGUCAACUUUUAGGUACCUCAUGCCCAAUCUGCUGAGAAAUUGGGUACCAGUGCCAGGGUAAUGAUGGCAGGAGAGCAUUGUCCUUCCCAAAUGAAAAAGAAUUUUUCCUUUUCAGGAAAGGUGAAGGCAGGACAAUCCUGUUUUCUUUUAGUGCACACUACAAUUGUGCAUGAGCAUUUCUUGGGAUAUGGAAAAGGACUUUCCGAUUCCUUCAGAUCAGGCUGCCCCAGUAGCCUUACUCUUGAAGAAGAGGAGAGUGCAAGGAGCUUUCUCUUCUGCCCCUAGAAUGAAAAGUGAGCCCAUGCCUUCUCACUGGCAGCACCAAUGCUUUCCUGGCUGAUGAUGCAGGGACAUUGAACUUGCUUUAAGGCAAUUCAGUAAUUUCCCUGGAACAACAUACCUGCAGUAGUGGAAGAUCUACAAUGAAAUAUACUUUGUCUAGGAAAUGCUUUAUUGCUCACGGCCAAAGAACAGACCCUCACGUGGAACUUCCCUGGAAGUGGGCUGUUUUACAUCCAUUUACUUCAGUUGUUACUCUUGUGAAAGGCGAGAGAGGAAGAUAAGAAGUAAUGUUAGGAGUCUGAUAUCUGCUACAAUUUGUUAUGAAGGUUCUGUCUCCUAGGACAUUGUUUGCCCAUCUUAACUGGUAAUGUUCCUCAAAGACUCAAAAAAAAUAUCACAGCAAUAAUGAAUCUUUGCUGAUGGACAUCAAAUGUUUUUCUGGGGUUUUAAAGAGUCUAAAAGAAAUCAAAUUAUUCAAUCUUCAGAAAAGUUAACAGGUGUUCAUAUCAGAGAGGUAAUGAAAUAUUGCCUCAGGUAGGGAAAUAGUGCUGUAGUGCACCAGUAAAUCAGAAUACUCUUCUUGUUCUGAGCUGACUGAACUUGCUUUCAGUAGUUCAGCAUAUCUUUGUUUAUAAAUCUAAAUGCUAUUGUGUGGUAUUGUACUUUGCAGUGUAAUAAAUUGUAACAUUCAACAUUAACUGGUCAGGCUUCAGUGAUAACAAAAGUUCAGCA
Molecule: RNA transcript, 9418 nt
Organism: Motacilla alba alba
Lineage: Eukaryota; Metazoa; Chordata; Aves; Passeriformes; Motacillidae
Exons: 4
Source: RefSeq, a predicted model, not a curated record